UACGUAGGGCGCAAGCGUUGUCCGGAAUUAUUGGGCGUAAAGAGCUCGUAGGCGGCCUGUUACGUCUGCUGUGAAAUCCCGGGGCUUAACCCCGGGCGUGCAGUGGAUACGGGCAGACUGGAGGCAGGCAGGGGAGAACGGAAUUCCCGGUGUAGCGGUGAAAUGCGCAGAUAUCGGGAGGAACACCGGUGGCGAAGGCGGUUCUCUGGGCCUGUACUGACGCUGAGGAGCGAAAGCGUGGGGAGCGAACAGG
This 253-nucleotide ribosomal RNA is filed under the name uncultured bacterium. RNAcentral describes it as "partial 16S ribosomal RNA". It matches the Rfam family "Bacterial small subunit ribosomal RNA", at positions 524 to 776 of the family's 1533-position model. The record is from RNAcentral.